This 519-nucleotide ribosomal RNA is filed under the name bacterium enrichment culture clone ALO1_GLFRUDD03FREL4. Its description in RNAcentral is "bacterial SSU rRNA". It matches the Rfam family "Bacterial small subunit ribosomal RNA", at positions 9 to 521 of the family's 1533-position model. The record is from RNAcentral.
GAGUUUGAUCCUGGCUCAGAUUGAACGCUGGCGGCGGGCCUAACACAUGCAAGUCGAGCGGAUGACGGGAGCUUGCUCCUUGAUUCAGCGGCGGACGGGUGAGUAAUGCCUGGGAAUCUGCCUGGUAGUGGGGGACAACGUUUCGAAAGGAACGCUAAUACCGCAUACGUCCUACGGGAGAAAGCAGGGGACCUUCGGGCCUUGCGCUAUCAGAUGAGCCUAGGUCGGAUUAGCUAGUUGGUGGGGUAAUGGCUCACCAAGGCGACGAUCCGUAACUGGUCUGAGAGGAUGGUCAGUCACACUGGAACUGAGACACGGUCCAGACUCCUACGGGAGGCAGCAGUGGGGAAUAUUGGACAAUGGGCGAAAGCCUGAUCCAGCCAUGCCGCGUGUGUGAAGAAGGUCUUCGGAUUGUAAAGCACUUUAAGUUGGGAGGAAGGGCAGUAAGUUAAUACCUUUGCUGUUUUGACGUUUACCGACAGAAUAAGCACCGGCUAACUCUGUGCCAGCAGCCGCGGU